UGUUGUUGUUGUUGUUAUUACUAUUUAUUACUAUUUAUUAUUAUUUUGUAAACAAAGAAUGUAUUUUUUGAAAAUAUUUUCCAGAUAUAUAAACUAGAAUUCCUCUCAGAAUGUGAAUUAAUCUGGGAAUAAUAUUCAUUUUGACACUGAUCAUCUUUCCCCACAGGGUAAGGUUUAAUGACUCCCAUCUAUUGAUAUCUGAAGAAUCCCCUCAUUUUUCUUUAUAUUACUAUUAUUAGUAAUCAUUUUAGUAUUAAGUUACUCAGUUAUAUGUUUUAGUAUAGGAGCCAUGGUGGUGCAGUGGUUAGAAUGCACUAUUACAGGCUAACUCUGCCCACUGCCAGGUGUUCAAUUCUGAGGGGCUCAAAAUUCACUCAGGCUUCCAUCCUUCUGAGGUGGGUAAAAUGAGGACCCAGAUUGUUCAGGAUAAUAUGCUGAUUCUGUAAACCACCCAGAGAAAAGCACUGUGGAACAGUGUAUAAGUCUAAGUGCUUUUUCUAUUGCUAUACCCAUAGCUAGAUAUUUUUCUUUACUAAAUUCUUACUUUUUCUUUCUUUUCUAGCUUUUUCCUUUUUUCUGCAUGUUUUUCUUUUAUUCUUUUUGAAGUUUGUAUUAGCUCUUUUUAAAUUGUAACAUUUAAUAAAAUUUCUAUAAAAAUGACAGCUUUAUAAUUAGCUAGGCCAGUUCCAAAUUGGUUAAAUGGGCCUUACAGUACAGAGAAUUGCAAAAUGAUUCCUUUUAACAAUAACACAAGAAGUAAAUAGCCUUUCUUUGCUCUGAGCUUUUAAUAUUACAUUCAGCUAUGCAUGGCCCUUUACAGUAUUCAGUUUAAUAGUUGCAAUCGGGACACUCAAAGUGGCUUGCAUUUUUCCACCCCUUCAAUUGAAAGAGCCUGGCUGAAUGGUACACACAUGCAAGUUAGAGCAGCUGUGGUGCCCUUUCUCUCAGAUGCCUGGCUUACUGAGAAUGCUGUAGGAAUUCACCAUAAUUUGCAGUUGCAACGCUUGUGCCAAAUUUCUAAAUUGGAGAGUUCAGAAAUGAGCUCUUGUUCAGAAAAGCCAUACCAAUUACAGUCUGAGUUAAACUCACUGGGUAAAGCUUGUCUUGUCUUUUAUUCAUUUACCCAUGUGAUGUACACCCUACCUUUUCUAGAAACUCAAAGCAAAGUAUGUACCAUUUCCUCCCCCAUCACCCAUUCCCAACAUUUCCUGCAACCGUUCCCCCUUUCAAAAUUAACCAGGGAGGAGAUUAACUAGCAACAGAGAAAACAUAUUAAUUAGCAGCAGAUGAUAGGUGGUUGAUCUUUAAGUUCUUUCUCUGACCUUGCCAACAAAGAGGAGGUUUAUUCAGUUUUAAUUUCCUGUUUGAAUAUACCAAGCCAGAGGGAAGCAACAGUUAAAAAUACUCAGCAGCAUUUCUAAGAGCACAAUGGAGGAUCCAGAGCCAUCCUUGCCAUCAGGAACAGUGAGACCUUUUUCUGCUUCCAGCUGAUGCUCCUCCUAAAUAGUCACCAGACAGGGACACUGUUCUGUAAACAUCACUGGGAAGUAUCUUUCAGGUAAAAUGAUGGAAGACUUUUCUAUAAAGGGGGAAGGUGGAAGAAAGAAGUCAUGAGGGGGGAGAAUCCCCAUCAUUUAAAAGUGCUGCGGCUACCUGUUUUCCCUGAAAAACUACCUAUGGGCCGAAGAACCUUUUUGAUACGGCAGAACAGCAUCAGGACUGGCUUCUAGAUAAGGGAAUAUACAAGAUAGUCCUCAAAUUAUGACCACAACUGAGCCCAAAAUUUCCAUUGCUAAGCAAGACAGUUGCUAAGUGAGUUUUGCCUCAUUUUAUGAGCUUGCUUGUCACCGUUGUUAAGUGAAUCACUGCAGUUGUUAACACAGGUGUUAAAUGGCUUUCCCACUGCUUCUCAGAAGGUCACAAAAAAUGAUCAUACGACCUUGGGACUCUGCAACCAUCAUAAAUACAUGCCAGCUGCCGAGUGUCCAAAUUUUGAUCAUGUGAACACGGGGAUGCUGCAAUGGUUAUAAGCGUGCAAAAUGGGCAUAUGUCACUUAUUUCAGUGUCGUUGUAACUUCAAACAGUAACUAAAUGAAUGGUUGUAAAUUGAGGACCGUCUAACUGAAAAUCAGAUGAAGAUAUUACAUAUGUACGCAACUUUGUUAUUGCAAGAUGUUUUCUUUUUUCUCUCCCUUCUCUUUCAGCACUCGUUUUGGGAGAGGCAUAGGGACUAUAAUCGAGAGGACAGAUAUAUCACUAUGCCAAUGAAUCCACUUCUGGUCAUGAUUUUCAGGCUCCAAUCCCACGUCACACUAUUCACAAACAGUAAUUAGAGACACUGUCCACUUUUAACUGUGCCAUUUCUGCUGUAGACCCAGAUGCACACAAAGUAUAAGGUUUUUUUUCUUUAAAAAAA
Molecule: long non-coding RNA, 2416 nt
Organism: Crotalus tigris (Tiger rattlesnake)
Lineage: Eukaryota; Metazoa; Chordata; Lepidosauria; Squamata; Viperidae
Exons: 4
Source: RefSeq, a predicted model, not a curated record